RNAcentral lists this non-coding RNA (148 nucleotides) under Homo sapiens (human). The record is from Rfam by way of RNAcentral. Lineage: Eukaryota; Metazoa; Chordata; Mammalia; Primates; Hominidae.
GCUGGGCAUGGUGGCGCGUGCCUGUAGUCCCAGCUACUUGGGAAGCUGAGGCAGAAGAGUUGCUUGAAUCCAGGAGGUGGCGGUUGCAGUGAGCUGAGAUCGUGCCACUGCACUCCAGCCUGGGCGACAGAGCAAGACUCUGUCUCAA